Hydractinia symbiolongicarpus is the source of this 6098-nucleotide long non-coding RNA. RefSeq lists it as uncharacterized. NCBI's taxonomy places the organism in Eukaryota, Metazoa, Cnidaria, Hydrozoa, Anthoathecata, Hydractiniidae. The record is from RefSeq and is a predicted model, not a curated record. The transcript has 3 exons.
GAAGUAAGUACUUAUGCCUUGUUGAGAGGCUUGGCUUUGAUUGCAUUCAGUAUUCAAGUGUCAACAAAGAUGGCUACUAGCAUCAUUGAAGGAUAUACUUUAGAAACUCAAUGUUAUUUCAAAUCUAGAAUGGUAGACUAGUGAAAAGGGUGGUCACAAGGCAUGAACACUAGGGGCCCUCAAGGUAACUAACCAAUACUGUUGUAGAUCCAGGCCCCUAAGAUUGCCUUGCCUACCUAUAAAUUGGGAGCAGCUAAAGUCAACUAGUUUCCAUCAUCUGCAACCUACUAAAUAUCAUCAACUCCAUCUUUUGGCUUCAAUUACUAUAAUGGCAGUGCAUCCAAUGACAACCAAUGACUUUAGCAAAUUUUGGAUCAUGUACCUCUGGUAUCAGGAGAAACCUUCAGAUAUUUCUUCAGGACAGAUAUUGCAUGUAGCCAGGUCGGUUUGUUUCAUUUUAUAUAUUAUAUCAUGUUAGGAGCCCAGAAACUGUCACUUUUUAACCACCCUAGAGCCAUUAUGGCUUUUAUACAAGUUAUGCCAACCUUGUAGCCAGGUUGCCAUUAUGAUAACUCGUUAUGUUAUGUAUAGUGUUGUUUAUGGUCAUUCACCGCAAUAGACGAUCAUGAUACGAUCCUGCUCCAACCUGUAUAUAGUAAAUUGUAUCUGCGUGAAAAUUUGGCCUCGUGUUUUCCCUUUUUAAUCUUAUAAUAGACUAUACUUUAGCUAGCCAGAAAAACUUCUUUUUUCCACAUCCAAAAUAAAAUUUGCAGGCUUGUUUUCGUAAGUUAUUGGUGAAUAUAAUUGCUUUGGGGGCAAUAUUCAGGCUAUAAAUUUGGAGAAACUAUAUUCUGUAAAAGACAUGCAAAACGGUAUCUAUUACUAAUAAAAAUUUUGAUAUUUAAUCUAUUUGAAACAUUUAAUCACAUGGAAAAGGAGAAAUAUAGAUAAAUAAGCAACAACAACAAAACAAACUGCAUUGUAAAUAGGCUUUAUUUGUAUUAUUAGAUCAUAGUACACCAUAAACAACAACAGAUAAAUAAAAUAAAAAUAGCAAAAUUAUAUCAUGAUUUUGCACAAGUAAAGGCCGCUAUAUAAAAUUUGGUUUUUACGCAGCAAUAGCUAAUUAAAAACAACACAACCUACCACAACAAGUGAAUGACCACUGAUUUAGCACAACAUUCAGUCAAAAAUAUGUAGCCCUUAUUGGCUAAGACUCUAAAAUGUUGAAUCAAACUUGGAAAUACCUAGCUGUUAUGCGAUAAACACUAACUACUUAAAAAAUUUUAACAAAACAAAUCAUUUAAAAACAGAUAUCGUUAACUACAUUUACACAUUUUGUGUCAAUCAGGAUAGCGCUGUAUGUGUAUAUAUGCUAAGUCAUUUCGUUAUGUUGGUAGAACCACAAACAUUUUCCAUGCCUGUCAGCAUAACUUCUUUAGUGAAAUGUGAAAAACUUUCGUCAUUUCACCCAUUAAUUAAAACCAUGCUUUUUCCUAAUUUUUAUAAUUAACAUCGUUCCCAGGAAUUAUCUCGAUAUAAGAUUAGAGCUUUUAAACCAAUUAUCUUCAAGUCUUGUCGAAGUCAUUCUCCCAAAACUAGUCACGACUAGUGUUCUCGUCUGUGGCCUUGUGGCAUUUUGAGAAAUCGUUUAAAAAGUGUUUAUUGCCAGGAGCUUUGAAUCUACAAAUCAAACAUAAAAGUUGUUAUGCAGCUAUUCGAUUUAUUGUAUUGUUAUCAAAUGUCUUGUUACUUGUGGGUACCCCAAGACAACACAAGAACUUUGAGUUUGAGACAGGCCUUUUUAGAGUUGUUGAAAGUGAAACUAUAAACAGUUUCAUGCUCAAACUUGCUAGCACAGCAAUAGGAAGCUCAAGAAUCAAUGGAAUUAAAAGUAAACAGAUGUACCUGAAAACGUUUUCAUUAUAAAGUUAAUGCUAUAAUUUUGUUAACUCAAAAAAGUCUAUUUAUUUUGCCAAACUGCUUUCUUCUGCAAUCCCAGGCAACACAGAGCAUAAAUGUUUUCCAGUCAUGUUUCUUCUUAGCAACAUUGCUCAAUUUCAUUCCGCAAUCAUAUAUUCAAGCCUUCCAUUUACUUGCUGCAAGUCAAUACAAAACUUUCUUAGCCUUUAGACAUGUUGAAUCAUACCCUAUCCAACCGACCGGCUACCGGGAGGCAAUAACAAUAGGUAGAGUAAAUUAAUUUCAAUCUUUCUUUACUGUAAAUUUCGACGACUUCGGCGGGAUUCUUCUUGACGUCACAUAUUCUUUGUUUUACAAGAGUCCAAAAGUCCACACUUCGGCGCGAUUCUUCUUGUCGUCAAAAUUAUUUGUUUGUUUAAGAGGGUCAAAAGGCCACACUUCGGCUGCCGCCGAAGUCGACUAUUUUACGGCAGAAAACAAGGAAUCGCGCAACAAUCGGCAAAAAGCGGCAAAAUGUAGUUAAACUACCGUGAAACCAGAGAGUUGAGCCUCGUGAAACACUCCUGAGUAGUUUAGAUAAAUUUUAACUCGACUCCUGGGCGCAACGAACCUUUUCUCAUUGGCAAUUUCUACUUAGGCGAUCCUACCUCACUUUAAGUUGGUUUUUUUUAAUUUUUUUUUUGCAAUAUGUGUCCAGUCUUUAGGAUCAAUUUUAUAAACAUUUCACAUAGCUGUAUUUUGAAUGCUACUCAAAAUUGUUCGAUCAGGCUAUAUCUUUUGUGCAAUUUGGAAAUCUGGAAAUGCUUUUAUUGUCAGUGCCCUUAAUUUAGAAUGGUUGGGCAUAUAAAUACGGUUAUGCUUCCGAUUGUAUUCCCUUUAUAUUAGGCAUUUAAAUAAGUGUCAUUGUAGAGUGAUUAAGUACAGUACAGUCUGAAUGUAAUCUACCGCGUACACGCUAAUAUCACACCUUUGCGUGGAGGACGGCAGUCGUUUGUCUUUUGUUAUAAUUAAAUCCCUUUGAGUUUAUAUUUGCGUGUUAAAAAACAAUGCGCUCGUGAAGAAAUAUUGGAGCAAAUAAUAAAAAUCUUUCGCGAAGUUUUAUAAUACAUUGCGCGGGAAUGUAUUGUUGAUUUAAGCGCGUUUCAUCUAAGAAACAUUCGAGAAGCAUUGUUCACAACUAUUAAAUACCGCUUUUCGUUUAAAAAAUUCUAUCGCCUCUUUUCGAUUUUAAACUUUAAAACACGAUCUAAAAAAGCAUUUCUAUCGCCGCUAUUCGUUAAAACUUUUAAAAUUUCCAGGGAGAAAUUUGAAAACUAAUGAAUGACAAAAUCCCAAAAAGUUUAUCUUCAAAUUUUUAAUUUUGUUAAUGUAAAAGUAAUCCACAUGAAAAAAGUUUCUGAUGUUUUUUAUGAAGAAUCUUCCAUAUUAGCCAUUAUACAUUUGCCCUAGAGUGAUUAAUAAAUAAGGUCAGGCUUCUAUUUUCAGAACUGCUAUUUACAUUUAACAUCAAGGCAUCCAAAACAGCUCCAUUUAGGAAAGGGCUAAGGCUGGCCCAUUGUUCGUUUUAUCAAAUGGGGAUUUUAUUACCCGAAUUGUAAAAGGCUAAUUUAUAGGCACUUGCAUGUAUUUUUUUUUCAUGUCUAUUUGUUAAGCCUGUUAUGGCAUGUUGAAUUAUCUCGUCGUAGUUCUCGUCAAAAAUAUUGCCUGAUAAAUAAUGAAUUUUCAUUUGGGGAAUUGGGGGUGCUGGGCUGCCCUGGGUAGCUACAAAGUGUAGAGAUGUGCGUGUACCCCUGGAAGAGUAUGGUGAAUUAAGUAUAGGUGCGAGGAGAUGAACGACGGUGCACCACGCGAGCAGGACAGAUGACUUGGGAAAUAACAGCAGAGGGAUGCGGCGCUGACAGUCAGAGGUGGUGCACAAAGAGGUUAAUAACAGGUGUGAAAUGCAAAAGAAGCUAGAGCUCAUAAAGAGUAGGUUCUUGUGAGGUAUGAUAGAGGAAAUGGAAUCACAGGAGAGGAGCUCCGGAUGUGAUUGAGAGAUUAGUUAAGCCAGAAAACACUACUAGGAGAAAAGCUCCGGAUGUAGUGGAGAAGAGCGAAUUUAUUGGGAACACGCACGUGAGCUUGAGACAAUAUCUUCUCUUCAGCCUAGCAUCCUCACCCGAUUCCGCCAAAUUAUCCUCAGUUUAUUCUUGCCACUAACAAUUGAUAGUGCUAUUACUGCUAUAACUCUAAAUUAAAGUACAAUCCUUAUUCAUUGAUUUUGUAUUAUUGACGGCAAUUGUAGUUAUUAUUUGUCAAUUUAAAGUUGUGUAUUAUCAGAUUUUGAAAGUUACUUAAUAACAUGAUGGAUUGCAAAAUUGUCUCCUUUAAAAAAUCCAGUUUGGGGUAAAUUGGGGAUGUCGGGCUUCCUUCGUCAGCCAAAUGGGAUGAAGAUGCGUUUGUUUCCCUAACAAAUGAGGUGCGUUUCCACGAGAUACGCCAUAGCAGGUAGUAGGCAAUUUCCAAGCGAGUUGCUGAGGUGUAGGCGAUUUCCAAGUGAGUCGCGGAGAUGUAGGCAAUUUCCAAGCGAGUUGCUGAGGUGUAGGCGAUUUCCAAGUGAGUCGCGGAGAGGUAGGCAAUUUCCAAGCGAGUUGCUGAGGUGUAGGCGAUUUCCAAGUGAGUCGCUCAGAUGUAGGCAAUUUCCAAGCGAGUUGCUGAGUUAGCGUUUCCACGAGAUACGCAGACGUUUCCACGAGAUACGUCUUACUAAGGGUAAGGAUGGAAACACACGCAUCUGGUUUGGGCCCCCCUGAUACCAAACCUGACAUCCCCCCCCUUUCCCCAAACUCAAGUGUAGUUAUGACAUGAAACAAGAGAAAUAUACUUCUAACAUUAUCUGUCAUUGUUGUUGUUUGCUUUCGUGUUGUUGCUUCAGAACCAUAGCAAUUAAAUGGUGGUGGACCAACAGUUCACCACAUGUUAAUUGCGGUUCCUGAAGUAAGUACUUAUGCCUUGUUGAGAGGCUUGGCUUUGAUUGCAUUCAGUAUUUCAAGUGUCAACAAAGAUGGCUACUAGCAUCAUUGAAGGAUAUACUUUAGAAACUCAAUGUUAUUUCAAAUCUAGAAUGGUAGACUAGUGAAAAGGGUGGUCACAAGGCAUGAACACUAGGGGCCCUCAAGGUAACUAACCAAUACUGUUGUAGAUCCAGGCCCCUAAGAUUGCCUUGCCUACCUAUAAAUUGGGAGCAGCUAAAGUCAACUAGUUUCCAUCAUCACAUUUUGCUUAUAGUUUGGUUUGCCCACCCACCCACCCUGUUAUUAUAUAUUUUUUCUUUUUCUUUUAUGUACAUCAAUCACUUCAUGUACUGGCAUCAAUGUCCACAACUGUCACCAUAUUAACUAAUUCUACAAUCAACCACAACCCUUAUGUUAACUCGAUAACCGGACCAUCAUCCGACACAUGAUGAGUGCAUACGAUACCAAUUGAUGUAGCCCCAGAGGGUCUUCUACAACGAACUAUAACACGCAACGAUACUACGAACUACAACACGCAACGAUCUACAACGCAAGAUGGAGGGAUCAAUUGGCAUCAAAGACGCGCGCUCGCUUACACCAGUGCUCUUGCCUCAAGGUUUUCUUGGUGAUCCAAAUUUCGGCUACUUGCGAUUGCCAAGUUUUUUGUCCAGAGGUAGAAGCACUGUUGACCCGCGCUGGUGGGGAUGUCGGGCUUCCUUCGUCAGCCAAAUGGGAUGAAGAUGCGUUUGUUUCCCUAACAAAUGAGGUGCGUUUCCACGAGAUACGCCAUAGCAGGUAGUAGGCAAUUUCCAAGCGAGUUGCUGAGGUGUAGGCGAUUUCCAAGUGAGUCGCGGAGAUGUAGGCAAUUUCCAAGCGAGUUGCUGAGGUGUAGGCGAUUUCCAAGUGAGUCGCGGAGAGGUAGGCAAUUUCCAAGCGAGUUGCUGAGGUGUAGGCGAUUUCCAAGUGAGUCGCUCAGAUGUAGGCAAUUUCCAAGCGAGUUGCUGAGUUAGCGUUUCCACGAGAUACGCAGACGUUUCCACGAGAUACGUCUUACUAAGGGUAAGGAUGGAAACACACGCAUCUGGUUUGGGCCCCCCUGAUACCAAACCUGACAUCCCCCCCCUUUCCCCAAACUCAAGUGUAGUUAUGACAUGAAACAAGAGAAAUAUACUUCUAACAUUA